AUUGAACGCUGGCGGCAGGCCUAACACAUGCAAGUCGAACGGUAGCACAGAGAGCUUGCUCUCGGGUGACGAGUGGCGGACGGGUGAGUAACGUCUGGGAAACUGCCCGAUGGAGGGGGAUAACUACUGGAAACGGUAGCUAAUACCGCAUAACGUCGCAAGGCCAAAGUGGGGGACCUUCGGGCCUCACACCAUCGGAUGUGCCCAGAUGGGAUUAGCUAGUAGGUGGGGUUAUGGCUCACCUAGGUGACGAUCCCUAGCUGGGCGAAGAGGAUGGACAGCCACAAUGGAACGGCGACACGGUCCAGACUCCUACGGGAGGCAGCAGUGGGGAAUAUUGCACAAUGGGCGCAAGCCUGAUGCAGCCAUGCCGCGUGUAUGAAGAAGGCCUUCGGGUUGUAAAGUACUUUCAGCGGGGAGGAAGGCGGUGGAGUUAAUAACUUCACCGAUUGACGUUACCCGCAGAAGAAGCACCGGCUAACUCCGUGCCAGCCGCCGCCGUAA
This 504-nucleotide ribosomal RNA is filed under the name uncultured bacterium. Its description in RNAcentral is "partial 16S ribosomal RNA". It matches the Rfam family "Bacterial small subunit ribosomal RNA", at positions 29 to 523 of the family's 1533-position model. The record is from RNAcentral.